UCCGUAGGUGAACCUGCGGUUCCGUGAAUCAUCGAGUCUUUGAACGCACAUUGCGCCCCCUGGUAUUCCGGGGGGCAUGCCUGUCCGAGCGUCAUUGCUGCCCAUCAAGCACGGCUUGUGUGUUGGGUCGUCGUCCCCUCUCCGGGGGGGACGGGCCCCAAAGGCAGCGGCGGCACCGCGUCCGAUCCUCGAGCGUAUGGGGCUUUGUCACCCGCUCUGUAGGCCCGGCCGGCGCUUGCCGAACGCAAAUCAAUCUUUUCCAGGUGACCUCGGAUGCAGGCUCGCAAUCAGUUAAAACUUUCAACAAUGGAUCUCUUGGUUCCGGCAUCGAUGAAGAACGCAGCGAAAUGCGAUAACUAGUGUGAAUUGCAGAAUUCCGUGAAUCAUCGAGUCUUUGAACGCACAUUGCGCCCCCUGGUAUUCCGGGGGGCAUGCCUGUCCGAGCGUCAUUGCUGCCCAUCAAGCACGGCUUGUGUGUUGGGUCGUCGUCCCCUCUCCGGGGGGGACGGGCCCCAAAGGCAGCGGCGGCACCGCGUCCGAUCCUCGAGCGUAUGGGGCUUUGUCACCCGCUCUGUAGGCCCGGCCGGCGCUUGCCGAACGCAAAUCAAUCUUUUUCCAGGUUGACCUCGGAUCAGGUAGGGAUACCCGCUGAACUUAAGCAUAUCAAUAAGCGGAGGA
This 678-nucleotide ribosomal RNA is filed under the name Metarhizium anisopliae. RNAcentral describes it as "eukaryotic LSU rRNA". The stretch from base 296 to 449 matches the Rfam family "5.8S ribosomal RNA". The record is from RNAcentral. Lineage: Eukaryota; Fungi; Ascomycota; Sordariomycetes; Hypocreales; Clavicipitaceae.